UAAGCGGAGGAAAAGAAACCAACAGGGAUUGCCUUAGUAGCGGCGAGUGAAGCGGCAAAUGCUCAAAUUUGAAAUCUGGCUCUUUCAGAGUCCGAGUUGUAAUUUGAAGAAGGUAUCUUUGGGUCUGGCUCUUGUCUAUGUUUCUUGGAACAGAACGUCACAGAGGGUGAGAAUCCCGUGCGAUGAGAUGAUCCAGGCCUAUGUAAAGUUCCUUCGAAGAGUCGAGUUGUUUGGGAAUGCAGCUCUAAGUGGGUGGUAAAUUCCAUCUAAAGCUAAAUAUUGGCGAGAGACCGAUAGCGAACAAGUACAGUGAUGGAAAGAUGAAAAGAACUUUGAAAAGAGAGUGAAAAUGUACGUGAAAUUGUUGAAAGGGAAGGGCUUGAGAUCAGACUUGGAAUUUUGUAUGUUACUUCUUCGGGGGUGGCCCCUACAGUUUAUCGGGCCAGCAUCAGUUUGGGCGGUAGGAGAAUUGCGUUGGAAUGUGGCACGGCUUCGGUUGUGUGUUAUAGCCUUCGUCGAUACUGCCAGCCUAGACUGAGGACUGCGGUUUAUACCUAGGAUGUUGGCAUAAUGAUCUUAAGUCGCCCGUCUU
RNAcentral lists this ribosomal RNA (592 nucleotides) under Candida tropicalis. RNAcentral's name for it is "partial large subunit ribosomal RNA". It matches the Rfam family "Eukaryotic large subunit ribosomal RNA", at positions 47 to 655 of the family's 3401-position model. The record is from RNAcentral. Lineage: Eukaryota; Fungi; Ascomycota; Pichiomycetes; Serinales; Debaryomycetaceae.